GAUCCCAUCAGAACUCUGAAGUUAAGUGUGCUUGGGCGAGAGUAGUACUAGGAUGGGUGACCUCCUAGGAAGUCCUCGUGUUGCAUUCCC
This 90-nucleotide ribosomal RNA is filed under the name Triticum monococcum (einkorn wheat). The record is from RNAcentral. Lineage: Eukaryota; Viridiplantae; Streptophyta; Magnoliopsida; Poales; Poaceae.